This 219-nucleotide ribosomal RNA is filed under the name uncultured bacterium. Its description in RNAcentral is "partial 16S ribosomal RNA". It matches the Rfam family "Bacterial small subunit ribosomal RNA", at positions 118 to 351 of the family's 1533-position model. The record is from RNAcentral.
UGGGUAAUCUACCUCCUAGUGGGGAAUAACCCUGGGAAACCGGGGCUAAUACCGCAUAAGCCCGCAAGGGGAAAGCAGCAAUGCGCUGAGAGAGGAGCCCGCGGCUGAUUAGCUAGUUGGUGGGGUAAUGGCCCACCAAGGCUAAGAUCGGUAGCCGGCCUGAGGGGGCACACGGCCACACUGGCACUGAAACACGGGCCAGACUCCUACGGGAGGCAG